AGCGAACGUAUUAGCGGAAGUUUUCGGAUGGAAGCGGAUAUGACUUAGCGGCGGACGGGUGAGUAACGCGUGGAUAACCUGCCUCAUACAGGGGGAUAACAGUUAGAAAUGACUGCUAAUACCGCAUAAGCGCACAGGACCGCAUGGUCCGGUGUGAAAAACUCCGGUGGUAUGGGAUGGAUCCGCGUCUGAUUAGCUGGUUGGUGAGGUAACGGCCCACCAAGGCGACGAUCAGUAGCCGACCUGAGAGGGUGGCCGGCCACAUUGGGACUGAGACACGGCCCAAACUCCUACGGGAGGCAGCAGUGGGGAAUAUUGCACAAUGGGGGAAACCCUGAUGCAGCAACGCCGCGUGAGUGAAGAAGUAUUUCGGUAUGUAAAGCUCUAUCAGCAGGGAAGAAGAAAGACGGUACCUGACUAAGAAGCCCCGGCUAACUACGUGCCAGCAGCCGCGGUAAUACGUAGGGGGCAAGCGUUAUCCGGAUUUACUGGGUGUAAAGGGAGCGUAGACGGCUGUGCAAGUCUGAAGUGAAAGCCCGUGGCUCAACCGCGGAACUGCUUUGGAAACUGUAUAGCUUGAGUACUGGAGAGGCAGGCGGAAUUCCUAGUGUAGCGGUGAAAUGCGUAGAUAUUAGGAGGAACACCAGUGGCGAAGGCGGCCUGCUGGACAGAAACUGACGUUGAGGCUCGAAAGCGUGGGGAGCAAACAGGAUUAGAUACCCUGGUAGUCCACGCGGUAAACGAUGAAUGCUAGGUGUUGGGGAGCAAAGCUCUUCGGUGCCGUCGCNAACGCAGUAAGCAUUCCACCUGGGNAGUACGUUCGCAAGAAUGAAACUC
Molecule: ribosomal RNA, 837 nt
Filed under: uncultured bacterium
Lineage: Bacteria
Description: bacterial SSU rRNA
Rfam family: Bacterial small subunit ribosomal RNA
Source: RNAcentral